Molecule: ribosomal RNA, 497 nt
Filed under: uncultured bacterium
Lineage: Bacteria
Description: partial 16S ribosomal RNA
Rfam family: Bacterial small subunit ribosomal RNA
Source: RNAcentral
GAUGAACGCUGGCGGCGUGCCUAAUACAUGCAAGUCGAGCGAACAGACGAGGAGCUUGCUCCUCUGACGUUAGCGGCGGACGGGUGAGUAACACGUGGAUAACCUACCUAUAAGACUGGGAUAACUUCGGGAAACCGGAGCUAAUACCGGAUAAUAUAUUGAACCGCAUGGUUCAAUAGUGAAAGACGGUUUUGCUGUCACUUAUAGAUGGAUCCGCGCCGCAUUAGCUAGUUGGUAAGGUAACGGCUUACCAAGGCGACGAUGCGUAGCCGACCUGAGAGGGUGAUCGGCCACACUGGAACUGAGACACAGUCCAGACUCCUACGGGAGGCAGCAGUAGGGAAUCUUCCGCAAUGGGCGAAGGCCUGACGGAGCAACGCCGCGUGAGUGAUGAAGGUCUUCGGAUCGUAAAACUCUGUUAUUAGGGAAGAACAAAUGUGUAAGUAACUAUGCACGUCUUGACGGUACCUAAUCAGAAAGCCACGGCUAACUACGUG